RNAcentral lists this long non-coding RNA (1003 nucleotides) under Physcomitrium patens. RNAcentral describes it as "long non-coding RNA (PPAT_LNC014118)". The record is from RNAcentral. Lineage: Eukaryota; Viridiplantae; Streptophyta; Bryopsida; Funariales; Funariaceae.
UUGGUUAAAGUUUGGUCAGGAUUUGGUUAGGAUUUAGUUAGGAUUUGUUUAGAAUAUGGUUAGGAUUUGUUUAGAAUUUAUUUAGGAUUUGUUUAGGAUCUGGUUAGGAUUUGUUUAGAAUUUAGUUAGGAUUUGUUUAGGAUCUGGUUAGGAUUUGUUUAAGUUUUGGUUAGGAUUUGUUUAAAAUUUGUUUAGAAUUUAUUUAGGAUUUAAUUAGAAUUUGGUUAAGAUUUAUUUAGAAUUUGUUUAAGAUUAGGUUAAGAUUUAUUUAGGAUUUGUUUAGAGUUAGGUUAGGAUUUAUUAAGAGUUAGGUUAGGAUUUGUUUAAGAUUUGUUUAGGAUUUGAUUAGAAUUUAUUUUAGAUUUAUUUAGAAUUUGGUUAGGAUUUGAUUAGGAUUUGUUUAGGAUUUAUUUAGGAUUUGUUGAGGGUUUAAUUUGGAUUUGAUUAAGAUUUGUUUAAGAUUUAUUUAGAUUUCAUUUAAGAUUUGAUUAGGAUUUGAUUAGGAUUUGAUUAAAACUUGAUUAGGAUUUGGUUAGGAUUUGAUUAAGAUUUGAUUAGAGCUUGAUUAGGAUUUGAUUAGGAUUUGAUUAGGAUUUGAUUAAGAUUUGAUUAAGAUUUGAUUAGGUUUUUUUUUAAAAUUUGGUUAGAAUUUGUUUAGGAUUUGUUUAGGAUUUAUUUUGGAUUUAUUAGGAUUUGGUUAGGAUUUGGUUAGGAUUUGAUUAAGAUUUGAUUAGGAUUUGUCUAUAAUUUGGUUAGAAUUUGGUUAAGAUUUUAUUAGAUUUUAUUUAGAGUUUGAUUAGGAUUUAUUAGGAUUUGAUUAGGUAUUAGUUAAAAUUUUUUUAAGAUUUUAUUAGUAUUUGGUUAGGAUUUGUUAGGAUUUGAUUAGGAUUUAUUUAGGAUUGAUUAAAAUUUGAUUAUGAUAUUGAUUAGACUUUGGUUAGGAUUUGAUUAAGAUUUGAUUAGGAUUCAAUUAAGAUUUCUAUUUUAAUAUUUUGUUAAGAUU